RNAcentral lists this unclassified non-coding RNA (235 nucleotides) under plant metagenome. RNAcentral's name for it is "partial contains small subunit ribosomal RNA, internal transcribed spacer 1, and 5.8S ribosomal RNA". The record is from RNAcentral.
UUUCCGUAGGUGAACCUGCGGAAGGAUCAUUACCGAGUGAGGGCCCUCUGGGUCCAACCUCCCACCCGUGUUUAUCGUACCUUGUUGCUUCGGCGGGCCCGCCGCAAGGCCGCCGGGGGGCGUCUGCCCUCUGGCCCGCGCCCGCCGAAGACACCAUUGAACGCUGUCUGAAGAUUGCAGUCUGAGCAAUUAGUUAAAUAACUUAAAACUUUCAACAACGGAUCUCUUGGUUCCG